RNAcentral lists this non-coding RNA (90 nucleotides) under Pseudomonas sp. WPR_5_2. The record is from RNAcentral. Lineage: Bacteria; Pseudomonadati; Pseudomonadota; Gammaproteobacteria; Pseudomonadales; Pseudomonadaceae.
GUAGGAGCAAAGCUUGCUCGCGAUGGCGGCGUGUCAUUCAACGGAUAUGUUGGAUGGUCCGGCGCUAUCGCGAGCAAGCUUUGCUCCUAC